GUGCUUGAAAUUGUCGGGA
RNAcentral lists this small nuclear RNA (19 nucleotides) under Arabidopsis thaliana (thale cress). RNAcentral describes it as "snRNA_09931". Lineage: Eukaryota; Viridiplantae; Streptophyta; Magnoliopsida; Brassicales; Brassicaceae. The record is from RNAcentral.